GACGAACGCUGGCGGCGUGCUUAACACAUGCAAGUCGAACGGAAAGGCCCUGCUUUUGUGGGGUGCUCGAGUGGCGAACGGGUGAGUAACACGUGAGUAACCUGCCCUUGACUUUGGGAUAACUUCAGGAAACUGGGGCUAAUACCGGAUAGGAGCUCCUGCUGCAUGGUGGGGGUUGGAAAGUUUCGGCGGUUGGGGAUGGACUCGCGGCUUAUCAGCUUGUUGGUGGGGUAGUGGCUUACCAAGGCUUUGACGGGUAGCCAGCCUGAGAGGGUGACCGGCCACAUUGGGACUGAGGUACGGCCCAGACUCCUACGGGGGGCAGCAGUGGGGAAUAUUGCACAAUGGGCGGAAGCCUGAUGCAGCAACGCCGCGUGCGGGAUGACGGCCUUCGGGUUGUAAACCGCUUUCGCCUGUGACGAAGCGUGAGUGACGGUAAUGGGUAAAGAAGCACCGGCUAACUACGUG
RNAcentral lists this ribosomal RNA (468 nucleotides) under uncultured bacterium. RNAcentral's name for it is "partial 16S ribosomal RNA". It matches the Rfam family "Bacterial small subunit ribosomal RNA", at positions 28 to 507 of the family's 1533-position model. The record is from RNAcentral.